GGGAACAGAUGGCCUGCUGGUGCAGCCCCUGGACUUCAAAUCCAGCCGGCGGGCCUCACGGUCCGCGGUGGGUUCGAUUCCCACCUGCUCCCGCCA
This 96-nucleotide transfer RNA is filed under the name Thermaerobacter sp. Its description in RNAcentral is "tRNA-Sec". It matches the Rfam family "Selenocysteine transfer RNA". Lineage: Bacteria; Bacillati; Bacillota; Clostridia; Eubacteriales; Clostridiales Family XVII. Incertae Sedis. The record is from RNAcentral.